AGGCUCUGUAUAACACAAACAACUGUGCCCAUUUCUUUUUGUCCUGAGCCAAACCGUCUGCAAGGAGGAGGACUGGGCUGGAGGAUACAACACCAGGAGUCAAAUUUCAGGAUCAGAAGUUUCAGGCUGGCAGAUUCUGAAGAUUUGCUGCAGGCCCCGCUGUGCUGUGGAGGCGAUUAUGUUCAAGGCCACUUAAGUGUGUUAAAGGAGUUUAGAAGGAGUAAGCAGUGAUGAAGUCUUAUGCCAAGACUAUUGACUGAAUCAAAGAGUCGGAAAGAAACAGACAGCUUCCUAAAGUGAUGAAGGUGCUUGCACAUCUGGCAUGUAAAGAAUGUAAAGAGACUGCUAGUGUAUUGUAGGACAAAAGCUAACAUUAGCUGGCAAUAAUAUAAAUGAGAACCAGACAACUGAAAGAUAAAAAAAAUCCAAUAUAUUACAGAGCCUUCAGCACUAGCAAGAAGAGAAUUCAUAUCUUGGCUGACAGUCUUACGGAGUGAGCCACACAUUUCUCAGCAUAGCAUCCCAGAAGAGACGGUCCUUUGCUUGCAACAUGGGUCUGCGCAUCUAAACAGCCCAUUUCAAAAUGACUCCCCAGCCAUCCCACUGGGAUGAGCUCAUGCACACGUUCUUCAGAUUCCAGCACUGAAGGGAGCACAUCUGUCUAUUGCACAAUCUAGAGGCUGUUUUGAUUAUACGGAAUAAUUGCUUUCUUGGACAGAAGCAUUUGUUCUCUUCACCAUGACUCUUCUCAUCUGUGUCUUUAAUUUUCUAAGAUAGUGGCAUGUGUGCAUGCUAGCAUGGUUCUUUAUAUACUACUUUCUUACAACACUUUUUAGAAUCAGGAAUUCGAAUGGUCUCAACAAACCCAGGAGGUGGGAAAUGCCAUUAUCUUUAUUUUUAUAAACUAAAGCUGAUGGCACCUGGAAAUUGGAGCACUUCUGGAGCAGCCUGAGUCAGAAUCUGAAAAUGAGCUGAGAUUUCCCGACUACACUGCGAAUGCCUUCACCACAGAAAUUUUCUUCUUAAUAUUUUUAGCUUGUUUUCUAUUUUUUGCAAUCGAUCCCUGUCCCCGACCAACACCCUGACCUGUAUUUCUGUAUUGCUUUUUCCGAAGGUGAGCCAUCUGCAUUCAAAGAUACCAAUAAACACUGUAUGU
Molecule: long non-coding RNA, 1156 nt
Filed under: Gallus gallus (chicken)
Lineage: Eukaryota; Metazoa; Chordata; Aves; Galliformes; Phasianidae
Description: lncRNA (ENSGALG00010012142.1)
Source: RNAcentral